RNAcentral lists this long non-coding RNA (1073 nucleotides) under Gopherus agassizii (Agassiz's desert tortoise). RNAcentral's name for it is "lncRNA (ENSGAGG00000000338.1)". Lineage: Eukaryota; Metazoa; Chordata; Testudines; Testudinidae. The record is from RNAcentral.
CUCUUUCCCUAGUAAGUUCUAACCUGUUUCUGUUUCCUUACAGUUAAAUUACCCUAGACCUGUCGAUAUUAAAAAUCUUGAUUGUGUCCUUUUUAAAGUGUGGUGUUAAGGGCUUAUGUGCUAAACCAUGAGUAGAGAAAGAAGAGUUGUUUAAAACGAGAUAUUUUCCUUGCAUUAACUGGAAAUGUUCCUUGAUUCUUCUACACACAUGAUCUGCCUUAAUGUUAAUGUACUGUGUAUCUGCCUUCACAGUGCCAGAAGCAGUCUAUUGCUUUUAACUACAUAUACCUGAUUCCUCUGCUGUAAUUGCUGAAUGUUAUUCUUCUUUCUUUAUCCAUUUUUAUAUACCCUGGCAUAGGUCAUCUGCAUCCUUUUUCCUAUUCUGCCUGUCUGUGUCUAUGCCAGCAAACAGUCUAGCCACUCAAGGUCUUGUCACUAUUACUUCAUCUAUUUGUCUCACUUUUAAAUGAUUUGCUUCUAUUUUAACUGCCUUGGAUCUUGCAACGUGACCAAAAUAUUAGAUCAUUAAAACCAUCUAAAAUCAGGAUCAUAUCUCAAACCAAAAGUUUGACAAUACUAAAAAUAUACUAAAAGCUUUAAAGUGUGUUUAUGGUCAGUAAAUGACACUAUAAAAUGACAUUUUCUCUCUUAACAUUUCACUCUACAUGUAUUGCAAGUCAUGUCUGCUUUACCACCAUGGAAAAAAAGGGAUUUUUUUUUUCACUCCUGCUAUCACCUGCAGAGUCGACACAGCACAAUUUUAUUUUUUUCUAUCAGCAUAAUUGUUAGCUGAAUUCCAGUUGCCAAUUUGUUUUACUAGUCACAAUGCAUGGGCAAGACUGAUUUUCACAUCCCAGUGUAAGUUUUCAAGGCUCAAAUAGAGUGAUCUUUUUUGCUUCUAAACUAAGCAAAUUCUGUUUGAAAGACACUGAAUACGAAACAGCACAAUGCAUACAGUCACUUUUCGUGAUUAAGUUCAUAAAAAUAGAUAUACUGAUUUUUUAAAAAAAAUAUACUGGAACAGGAAUUGUAUUUGAAAAAUAAAUCUAUUUCUUGAUCACUUUAUAGUUUCA